RNAcentral lists this transfer RNA (29 nucleotides) under Picus canus. RNAcentral describes it as "partial tRNA-Trp". Lineage: Eukaryota; Metazoa; Chordata; Aves; Piciformes; Picidae. The record is from RNAcentral.
AAACUUAGGAUAAACCACCUAAACCGAAG